AGCACACCCUGGAGUGACACAUCCUGGAGUCGGACUCCCUCCUCUCUGGUUCUGGGGUGUGUCACCCAAGAAUUGCC
Molecule: non-coding RNA, 77 nt
Organism: Myotis lucifugus (little brown bat)
Lineage: Eukaryota; Metazoa; Chordata; Mammalia; Chiroptera; Vespertilionidae
Source: Rfam